Molecule: ribosomal RNA, 497 nt
Filed under: uncultured bacterium
Lineage: Bacteria
Description: partial 16S ribosomal RNA
Rfam family: Bacterial small subunit ribosomal RNA
Source: RNAcentral
GAUGAACGCUGGCGGCGUGCCUAAUACAUGCCAGUCGAGCGAACAGAUGAGGAGCUUGCUCCUCUGACGUUAGCGGCGGACGGGUGAGUAACACGUGGAUAACCUACCUAUAAGACUGGGAUAACUUCGGGAAACCGGAGCUAAUACCGGAUAAUAUAUUGAACCGCAUGGUUCAAUAGUGAAUGACGGUUUUGCUGUCACUUAUAGAUGGAUCCGCGCCGCAUUAGCUAGUUGGUAAGGUAACGGCUUACCAAGGCAACGAUGCGUAGCCGACCUGAGAGGGUGAUCAGCCACACUGGAACUGAGACACGGUCCAGACUCCUACGGGAGGCAGCAGUAGGGAAUCUUCCGCAAUGGGCGAAAGCCUGACGGAGCAACGCCGCGUGAGUGAUGAAGGUCUUCGGAUCGUAAAACUCUGUUAUUAGGGAAGAACAAAUGUGGAAGUAACUAUGCACGUCUUGACGGUACCUAAUCAGAAAGCCACGGCUAACUACGUG